GGAGAGUGAAGGGUGCCUGGUGGUCCCCGCGGUCUUCAAAACCGUUGUCGGCCUUCUCCGAAGGUCGAGGUAAGUUCGAUUCUUACCCUCUCCGCCA
Molecule: transfer RNA, 97 nt
Filed under: Candidatus Moanibacter tarae
Lineage: Bacteria; Pseudomonadati; Verrucomicrobiota; Opitutia; Puniceicoccales
Description: Candidatus Moanabacter tarae tRNA-Sec
Rfam family: Selenocysteine transfer RNA
Source: RNAcentral